UGGGGGAUAUUGCACAAUGGGCGAAAGCCUGAUGCAGCGACGCCGCGUGGGGGAUGAAGGCUUUCGGGUUGUAAACCUCUUUCGCUAUCGAACAAGGCCCGCUUAGGGUGGGUUGAGGGUAGGUGGAGAAGAAGCGCCGGCUAACUACGUGCCAGCAGCCGCGGUAAUACGUAGGGCGCGAGCGUUGUCCGGAAUUAUUGGGCGUAAAGGGCUUGUAGGCGGCUUGUUGCGCCUGCUGUGAAAACCCGGGGCUUAACUUCGCGCGUGCAGUGGGUACGGGCAGGCUUGAGUGUGGUAGGGGUGACUGGAAUUCCAGGUGUAGCGGUGUAAUGCGCAGAUAUCUGGAGGAACACCGAUGGCGAAGGCAGGUCACUGGGCCAUUACUGACGCUGAGGAGCGAAAGCAUGGGUAGCGAACAGG
Molecule: ribosomal RNA, 420 nt
Filed under: bacterium
Lineage: Bacteria
Description: partial 16S ribosomal RNA
Rfam family: Bacterial small subunit ribosomal RNA
Source: RNAcentral